UGAUCCCCAGGGAUCAUAACCUUUAUGGUUCCUCUAGAUGUUGUGUAUUCUGAAUGAUUUAUAAGUAUGUCAACACUUUCUAUUGCUGAUCAUGCCCAAAGCUAAUCCAAGCCCAAGUGCACGGGCUCUUUGCAAUGGAUUCCCAACCCCCUGACCCCUUUGUAUGAACUUAUUAACUAUGUGCAAUGCUAAUGGCUGUCUCCCUAGCACUCUUCCCCUCUCCUUUAUUCCUCAGUUCUUAAAACUCCGUUUCUGCACUUUUACUAUCUUCUUAGACAUAAGUUCUGCCCCCUUAUGUGACCCUUGCCUUGGGACCUAUGAGCUCCCUAUGAACUUGGACAUAUAAGAGCUGGCAUUUUGAUACUGCACUCAUCUCUAUUCUGG
Molecule: long non-coding RNA, 384 nt
Filed under: Nicotiana benthamiana
Lineage: Eukaryota; Viridiplantae; Streptophyta; Magnoliopsida; Solanales; Solanaceae
Description: long non-coding RNA (NBEN_LNC032176)
Source: RNAcentral